Long non-coding RNA from Camelus dromedarius (Arabian camel), 4859 nucleotides. RefSeq lists it as uncharacterized. The record is from RefSeq and is a predicted model, not a curated record. NCBI's taxonomy places the organism in Eukaryota, Metazoa, Chordata, Mammalia, Artiodactyla, Camelidae. The transcript has 2 exons.
GACCUAGAACACACGAGCCCCAGGUGGGUGGCUGGGUCACAGGGCGGGACCCAGACCCCUGCCUCAGCCGCAAGCGUGGUUUCCCAUGUGCACACCACACACACGUGUGCAUACAUGGGGUCCUGUGGAGCCACACUGAGAGAAGAUGGGCAUUUAUUCAUUCAACAAACGUUUAGGAAGUGGGUGCUGUGAAUGGGCCAGGCCCUGUUCUAAGUGUCGAGAACACACUAGUUCUGUUCAUGAACAAAACAGAUGCUUCCUCUCCCUCGCUCUCCCAGCCUCCUUGCUCCGUCACCAAGUCCACCUCGCUCGUCCUGGCUCCUGGCCGUGGCCUCUGCUAUUCCCUUUGCCCAGAAAGCUUCUUCCCUGAGUCUGGGGAGGCUGAACCAUUCUUUCAGGUCUCAACACCACCUCCGCAGAGAGGUCUCCCAGAGCAUCCAACCUAAAGCACCCUCUGCCCCAGUCAUUACCCGUCACACUGCUGUAUGUAUUUCCUUCACAGAAUUCAGCAUUCUGUAACAUUCUAUAUUUUUGUUUCCUCUGCUAGAACGUUAGCUUCAGGAGAGUGAAUUUAGCAUUCUACAACAUUCUCACAUGUUUUCUUAGUGUUUUUGUUUCCUCUGCUAGAACAUUAGCUUCAGGAGAGAGAAGACGCAUCUGUUUUGUUCAUGAACAGACGUGUAUGUUCUCGACACUUAGAAGAGGGCCUGGCCCAUUCACAGCACCCACUUCCUGGACGUUUGUGGAAUGAAUAAAUGAUUGCAGACACACCCAGGUGCCCGGAUGUCCCAGGGCACAGGCACACAGCUGUGGGGGAAGGGGCCUGCCUGCUGAGGCCAGAAGAAGGCCCACCGGUGUGCGGCUCCUGCCCUGCCCGGUCUGGCUGCCCCCAGGCCACCCUGCCUGUCACCUUCUGGAUCAUGACGCUGUAGAUGCCCAUGUGCUGCAUGCCGCGCGUGUAGUACAGCAGGUUCAGCCAGCCCAGCACCAGCGAGGACACGAGCAGGGGCAGGUACCACUCGACGGCCAGGAAGCACAGCCCCUGGGACAGCACGGCGAGCAGCGCCUGGACCAGGCUGUGGGGGCGGGGCGGGGUCAGCCCGCAGCCUCCCCUGGCCAGCGCUCACCCCCACGGCCUCCCCCACCACAGGCUGAGAGGUGAGAAGUCCUCCCCCUGCCUGGGACGGGACCCAAGCAGGUCCUGACCUCCAUCCCGGACAAGGCAUUUAACCCUGUGGGCCUCCGUCCCCUCCCCUGUACAGUGGGUGUAACAGGAGUAACACCAGACUCGAGAGCCCCGGCGAGGAUUCAGCGUAAAGGGCUCAGGCUCCGAGGGCGCAGGGCGAGGGCUCCGUCAGUGUCACUGUCGCAAUCGCGACCUACACAGACCAGACUGGACAGCAGCCCCGACUCCUGACCCCAGUCCCCUGGAGCUGCCUGGCCCAGUCCUCGCUUCUAAAGCCACCUGGUGCUGUCGGCCACGUGGCCUUUCCCAGGCCUGAGGCAGGGCAGGAGGAGCGAGGCGCCCCACGUACAAGAGGAUUUCAAAGUAGCUGUCCAUGAACGAGGUCCAGAUGAACAGACGGCGCCUCCAGAAGUACCAGAGCUGCGGGGAGAGGGGACGCGUGUGAGGGCUGCUCCCCAGGCCACGACGCAGCCCCUUUGCCCUCAGGGCCCAGCCAGCGCUCUGUUCCCCGGCUGCCUGCCUGCUGGCCCGGCCUGUGGGAGCCUGGCCAGGACCACCUCCGGGGCUCAGGCAGCGGCUUUGACUUGGGGAUGAUCGUGAGUUCUGCUGAUAGCUGAGAAAGCUUUGGACCCUGUUUCCAGAAAGUGCACAGACACCCAGACGAGGCCAGGGGCCUCUGCUCCCUGUGGACCCAGAUGAAGGAUUCACACACCCCAAAUGGGGAUGGGGAGGGGGGCUCCUCUCCCUCCCCCUUCCUCGGCCUUCCAGGGGCCACCCUGUACUCCAGCCAACCUGGCCCUGGUGCCUAAUUCCUGCCCACUCUCAAGAGUCUCAGUGCCAUGGCCCUGCCUGCCUCCUGCCAGCUGGCAGCACCUUGACCUGAAGAGGCCCUGGGGGGCGGGCUGGGCUGAGUUCAUCCCACCCCCACCCUUCUGUGCUCCCCAAGUGAGGGUCAGGGGCUUCCAGCUCCACCCCCAGGGGAGCAGAGCCAGCAUUGCCAAGGAAGCAUAGGGGACACUCGCUGCCCCAGGGGCACCCAGCCCAGAAGGCAAGGCCAGGACCCACUGCCCUCAGCUGCCCUCAGGCUGUCUUCACAGUACCAGCCCGGGGAUUCAGUCUCCCAUCGGUGAAGGGACUGUGGGGAGGAACUCUGAGGCUCCCUGUGGCAGAAUUUCAGGUUUGGGGUGGGGGAGCGGGAGGAGCGCUCACCUGGCCCACGAGGAUGUAGGCGCCCCCGAGCAGGACCAGGAUGUGGCCCAGCAGCAGCAUGGAGUUCCCAGCAGUCACCUCCAGGGGGAGGGAGUCCUGGUUGAAGAGACACUCGGGUAGGGCCUGUGGUCCACCCCCAGCAGCUCCCCGCUGAGAGCUCAGCUCAGGGCCCAUUUCUGAGCAUGAGCUGUGGCAAGGCCCCGCAGCAGCAGAGCAAACACGGCUCCGGAUCCAGACUGUCUGCGUUCAGAUCUGAUCGCCACUGCUCACGGCCUGUGUGACCCUGAGUGAGUUACUAACCUCCGUGCCUCCCGCCCCUCAACUGUAAACUGGGGAUAACGGUUCAUCUCAGAGGGUGGUUGGGAGCAUUAGCUGCGUAAUUAACACAUGUCAGUCACUCAGAACACGUUCUCACAGGUGGUGCGCACUCAGUGCUGUUGUUGUCGUUGUUACUGCCGUGGCGCCGGCUUCCCUACCGUGACCAGCAGUAAGAGCAUGCACAGACCACCCUAGCGGCCAGGCCUCCGCGUCAUCAUCUGCAGGCAGGGUGGUGAUCCCUGCCCCACCCGCCCAAAGUGCCCCUCCCCGGCCUUGCCUUCCCCAGGGCGGGCUGGUGGUAGGUGAUGGCAGUGAAGACGGACACGUAGGUCAGGUAGCACAGGAAGUUGAAGAGGAACCUGGGGACGAGCAGAUUCCACUUGGCCUGCAGCAGUUUGUUCAGCGGCUCCAAAACCACCAUUCGGUGCCGGUGCUAGGGCAGGAAGGGGAGCCAGAGGCACGUUCAGUCUGUGUCGGGGCACAGGGCUGCAGGGCGAGGAUGGGGAGCCCCGACUGACCCCCCCCAAUAGCCUCCACCCCACCCUUAUGGCUACAGAGUGACCGAGAGCCUCUCCCUCCAGUCUGGAGCCGAGUGCUGGUCAACAGAGGCCCCCCGUGGUCGCCACCAGGACCCUCAUCCCCGUUUCGGGUGGGGACUGGUGUGCGGAGUGAGUGUGUGGCCAGAGGCCGGGUCAGGACCGGCAGCCACACCCACCCCGCACAGUUACAGGGCUGGGGUGGUCCAGACCCUGCCGAGAGUUCUGCCAGCCUCCUGCACAUGCUCCCACCCCAGCGGGCUCACCGGGCUCCUGCAGUGAAAGACGAUGAUCUCCAGCACUGAGUUCUCCUCCGAGCUGUCCACAGAGGCCAGGUCAUACAGCGACACCCGGACAGGCCCGUAGCACCACUCCGUGAACUUGCGGGAAAGGAACUGGCUCGGCCCCAAGAACUCCCGCUGCAGGAUGUGUCUGAAAAUCUGCAGGGCGAGCACGUGAGCCUGGCCUGCAUGGCCACCUCCCAGCCCUAACCUGGAGGCUGGGAAACACGUGGUAUCCUGCAGACACGUGCACACGCCCCACACCCACGGGUCCUGGUGUGUAUGAAUCUUACACAUCCACACACAUGCAGCCACCUGUAGACACUCCCACCCACCCACCUAUGCCCGGGCCUGCCGGCCAGCCUGCCUCUUCCUCCUCCACUCCUGCCCCGAGGCGUCUUUCCUGGAUGCUCACGUGGCAGAGGGACCCUCGGUCCAAUGUCCUUAAGGCCCCUUGAGAUCAGGUUACCAGCUACACGUGUGUGUGCACGUCUGUGGCCAGAGUCUAGAGCUUUCAACAGACUAGAAAGCAUCCCUAACCGGAAGAUGUGAAGCAGCAAUUAGAUUUUACAAAUGAGGAAUGGUGGGGAGGGAAGGGCCAGACAGGGGAGCAACUUCCACAGGUCACAUAGCCGUGCUUCCAGACGCCAACGGACCUUGGAGGGCAGAGUAAAAUAGUCACACUCCCACGUAUGUUUAUUUUUAUCUCUUGUCUUAACCUUCAACGACGCCUGUGCUCUAAGCAUUGGGCCUUGUGUCACCUGGGCUGGCUAUACACCCAUGAAGCUCCCCUGGUAAUAAGAAUCAGACAACUGGAAAGCCGUUUGGGAAGAAAAGUAGAGCUGGAUCAUGAUACCAAAAUAACUUCCAGAUAAAUCAAAGUUUUAGGCAUCGGAAAGGAAACUGCAAAACAAAAAUCUGCAGGAAUAUAUGGACGUGGAAUAUAUACACACACACACAAGGUUUUAAAACCUUGUAGAAGGAAUUAAGCAGCAGCAAAACCCAGGAACCCUAAAGGAAUAGAUAACUAUACUUGGAUACAUAAAAAUGUAAGAAUUCUGUGUAGCAAAAAAAUGCCAAAAUUUUAAUUUUACCGUUGAACUGGGAGGAAGUUUGCAACUUUAUUUUGUUUGUUUAUAGUAAAGUGCUGAUAUGUUCAUUAUCAAGAACACUUAGCAAUAUUAAGAAAAUCUAACAGCAAAGAAUAUGAGAAGACUGUUUCAGAAUCAAGAAACCCAAACGACUUUAAAAAAACCCUGCUUUCUGCUUUAUAAUGUAAUAUGUUCAGCAGCUCCAUUAUAAUUUAUCAAUAAAUGUACACAUAUGAGA